Molecule: ribosomal RNA, 207 nt
Filed under: uncultured delta proteobacterium
Lineage: Bacteria; Deltaproteobacteria
Description: partial 16S ribosomal RNA
Rfam family: Bacterial small subunit ribosomal RNA
Source: RNAcentral
CGUGUAGGCGGCUUUGCAAGUCGGGUGUGAAAUCCCUCAGCUUAACUGAGGAAGUGCGCCCGAAACUGCCGAGCUUGAGUACCGGAGAGGGUGGCGGAAUUCCCCAAGUAGAGGUGAAAUUCGUAGAUAUGGGGAGGAACACCGGUGGCGAAGGCGGCCACCUGGACGGAUACUGACGCUGAGACGCGAAAGCGUGGGGAGCAAACA